Molecule: ribosomal RNA, 630 nt
Filed under: uncultured bacterium
Lineage: Bacteria
Description: bacterial SSU rRNA
Rfam family: Bacterial small subunit ribosomal RNA
Source: RNAcentral
UAAAGGAAGCGAUUCCGGCUACGGAUGGUCAUGCGUCGCAUUAGCUAGUUGGCGGGGUAACGGCCCACCAAGGCGACGAUGCGUAGGGGUUCUGAGAGGAAGGUCCCCCACACUGGUACUGAGACACGGACCAGACUCCUACGGGAGGCAGCAGUGAGGAAUAUUGGUCAAUGGCCGCAGGGCUGAACCAGCCAAGUCGCGUGAGGGAUGACGGUCCUAUGGAUUGUAAACCUCUUUUGUCAGGGAGCAAAGGACGCCACGUGUGGCGUUUUGCGAGUACCUGAAGAAAAAGCAUCGGCUAACUCCGUGCCAGCAGCCGCGGUAAUACGGAGGAUGCGAGCGUUAUCCGGAUUUAUUGGGUUUAAAGGGUGCGCAGGCGGAAUGUCAAGUCAGCGGUAAAAUUUCGGGGCUCAACCCCGUCGUGCCGUUGAAACUGGCGUUCUUGAGUGAGCGAGAAGUAUGCGGAAUGCGUGGUGUAGCGGUGAAAUGCAUAGAUAUCACGCAGAACUCCGAUUGCGAAGGCAGCAUACCGGCGCUCAACUGACGCUCAUGCACGAAAGCGUGGGUAUCGAACAGGAUUAGAUACCCUGGUAGUCCACGCAGUAAACGAUGAAUACUAACUGUCCGGGC